RNAcentral lists this ribosomal RNA (492 nucleotides) under uncultured bacterium. Its description in RNAcentral is "partial 16S ribosomal RNA". It matches the Rfam family "Bacterial small subunit ribosomal RNA", at positions 29 to 507 of the family's 1533-position model. The record is from RNAcentral.
AGUGAACGCUGGCGGUAGGCCUAACACAUGCAAGUCGAACGGCAGCACAGUAAGAGCUUGCUCUUACGGGUGGCGAGUGGCGGACGGGUGAGGAAUACAUCGGAAUCUACUUUUUCGUGGGGGAUAACGUAGGGAAACUUACGCUAAUACCGCAUACGACCUACGGGUGAAAGCAGGGGAUCUUCGGACCUUGCGCGAUUGAAUGAGCCGAUGUCGGAUUAGCUAGUUGGCGGGGUAAAGGCCCACCAAGGCGACGAUCCGUAGCUGGUCUGAGAGGAUGAUCAGGCAACAUGGAAAUGAGACACGGUCCAGACUCCUAAGGGAGGCAGCAGUGGGGAAUAUUGGACAAUGGGGGGAAGCCUGAUCCAGGCAUACCGGGUGGGUGAAGAAGGCCUUCGGGUUGUAAAGCCCUUUUGUUGGGAAAGAAAAGCAGCAGGUUAAUACCCCGCUGUUCUGACGGUAGCCAAAGAAUAAGCACCGGCUAACUUCGUG